This 1113-nucleotide ribosomal RNA is filed under the name Salmonella enterica subsp. enterica serovar Typhimurium. Its description in RNAcentral is "bacterial SSU rRNA". It matches the Rfam family "Bacterial small subunit ribosomal RNA", at positions 1 to 1103 of the family's 1533-position model. Lineage: Bacteria; Pseudomonadati; Pseudomonadota; Gammaproteobacteria; Enterobacterales; Enterobacteriaceae. The record is from RNAcentral.
AAAUUGAAGAGUUUGAUCAUGGCUCAGAUUGAACGCUGGCGGCAGGCCUAACACAUGCAAGUCGAACGGUAACAGGAAGCAGCUUGCUGCUUCGCUGACGAGUGGCGGACGGGUGAGUAAUGUCUGGGAAACUGCCUGAUGGAGGGGGAUAACUACUGGAAACGGUGGCUAAUACCGCAUAACGUCGCAAGACCAAAGAGGGGGACCUUCGGGCCUCUUGCCAUCAGAUGUGCCCAGAUGGGAUUAGCUUGUUGGUGAGGUAACGGCUCACCAAGGCGACGAUCCCUAGCUGGUCUGAGAGGAUGACCAGCCACACUGGAACUGAGACACGGUCCAGACUCCUACGGGAGGCAGCAGUGGGGAAUAUUGCACAAUGGGCGCAAGCCUGAUGCAGCCAUGCCGCGUGUAUGAAGAAGGCCUUCGGGUUGUAAAGUACUUUCAGCGGGGAGGAAGGUGUUGUGGUUAAUAACCGCAGCAAUUGACGUUACCCGCAGAAGAAGCACCGGCUAACUCCGUGCCAGCAGCCGCGGUAAUACGGAGGGUGCAAGCGUUAAUCGGAAUUACUGGGCGUAAAGCGCACGCAGGCGGUCUGUCAAGUCGGAUGUGAAAUCCCCGGGCUCAACCUGGGAACUGCAUUCGAAACUGGCAGGCUUGAGUCUUGUAGAGGGGGGUAGAAUUCCAGGUGUAGCGGUGAAAUGCGUAGAGAUCUGGAGGAAUACCGGUGGCGAAGGCGGCCCCCUGGACAAAGACUGACGCUCAGGUGCGAAAGCGUGGGGAGCAAACAGGAUUAGAUACCCUGGUAGUCCACGCCGUAAACGAUGUCUACUUGGAGGUUGUGCCCUUGAGGCGUGGCUUCCGGAGCUAACGCGUUAAGUAGACCGCCUGGGGAGUACGGCCGCAAGGUUAAAACUCAAAUGAAUUGACGGGGGCCCGCACAAGCGGUGGAGCAUGUGGUUUAAUUCGAUGCAACGCGAAGAACCUUACCUGGUCUUGACAUCCACAGAAGAAUCCAGAGAUGGAUUUGUGCCUUCGGGAACUGUGAGACAGGUGCUGCAUGGCUGUCGUCAGCUCGUGUUGUGAAAUGUUGGGUUAAGUCCCGCAACGAGCGCAACC